This 251-nucleotide ribosomal RNA is filed under the name Kluyveromyces marxianus. Its description in RNAcentral is "partial 26S ribosomal RNA". It matches the Rfam family "Eukaryotic large subunit ribosomal RNA", at positions 350 to 647 of the family's 3401-position model. Lineage: Eukaryota; Fungi; Ascomycota; Saccharomycetes; Saccharomycetales; Saccharomycetaceae. The record is from RNAcentral.
ACAGUGAUGGAAAGAUGAAAAGAACUUUGAAAAGAGAGUGAAAAAGUACGUGAAAUUGUUGAAAGGGAAGGGCAUUUGAUCAGACAUGGCGUUUGCUUCGGCUUUCGCUGGGCCAGCAUCAGUUUUAGCGGUUGGAUAAAUCCUCGGGAAUGUGGCUCUGCUUCGGUAGAGUGUUAUAGCCCGUGGGAAUACAGCCAGCUGGGACUGAGGAUUGCGACUUUCAAGGAUGCUGGCGUAAUGGUUAAAUGCCG